This 107-nucleotide small RNA is filed under the name Arabidopsis thaliana (thale cress). Its description in RNAcentral is "ATSL251990". Lineage: Eukaryota; Viridiplantae; Streptophyta; Magnoliopsida; Brassicales; Brassicaceae. The record is from RNAcentral.
GCCAUGCUUAUAAGAUUCUCCGACAAAAAAAAUAAUAUAAAGACUUCUUAAAAAAACAGACAGGUCUUUUUCUCUGGUUUUGUCUUGGGAUGAUCACAAGAUCUCUG